AUGGAGUCUGGCCCAAGCCUGGGCGCCACAGGAGGUACAGGAGGGAGGGGAAGACCUAGGGUGGGGGCAUGGCAAGGGGCAGAGCCAUGGGGGUGGGCCCCCCGCUGGGCCCAGGCUGGGACUCACUUCCCCCGCCCUGACCAGGCCCAGCCGCUCAGGCCCAAGCCUCCUGUCCCUGCCAAGCCUGUGCUGCCGACCGAGGUUUACGCCAGUCCGGAGCCUCGCCCCCGCCCAGCUCUGCCGCCCAGGCCUGUGCCCCCCAUCUACCAGGAGCCAGAGGAGCCCAUCGCCUUCUAUGCCAUGGGCCGGGGCUGCCCUGCCGAGGCGUCUGGCCACGUCUAUGCCGAGCUGGAUGGGCUGGAUGGGCCAGAGGUGGGUGACCAGAACCCAGGCAGUCUGCAACUGUAUCCUGAGAACCCUGUGCUGGGACAAGGCCCCCCACUUCCCCAGCAACCUCCACCUGGCUGGAGGCACACCCUGCCCCCCAACCUUUCCAGACAAGUGCUUCAAGACAGAGGCCUGGCCUGGCUUCCCCUUGGGCCUUCUCAGACCGUGUUACCAGCUCAUUCUGAGAGUCCCUGAGAAUCGCUGCCAGCGACCCUCUAAGAUGGUGAGACGUGUGCAAGGAGGCACUGCCCUAGUUUCUCCUCCUGGAGUCUAAUUUCCUCAGUCCUCUGGGCCUUGGAGUCUGGGCCCUGGUCCAAUGCUGCUGUUGUCUGAGGAGUGGUUUGGUGAGAACAGAUGUUAGAACUUGUUUGUUGAUUCUUGUCUGGCUAAUAAAUCUUCACCAACA
This 793-nucleotide long non-coding RNA is filed under the name Fukomys damarensis (Damara mole-rat). Its description in RNAcentral is "lncRNA (ENSFDAG00000029020.1)". Lineage: Eukaryota; Metazoa; Chordata; Mammalia; Rodentia; Bathyergidae. The record is from RNAcentral.